RNAcentral lists this ribosomal RNA (270 nucleotides) under uncultured bacterium. RNAcentral describes it as "partial 16S ribosomal RNA". It matches the Rfam family "Bacterial small subunit ribosomal RNA", at positions 355 to 617 of the family's 1533-position model. The record is from RNAcentral.
UGGGGAAUUUUGGACAAUGGGGGGAACCCUGAUCCAGCCAUCCCGCGUGUGCGAUGAAGGCCUUCGGGUUGUAAAGCACUUUUGUCAGGGAAGAAAAGGUUCUGGCUAAUAUCCGGAACCGAUGACGGUACCUGAAGAAUAAGCACCGGCUAACUACGUGCCAGCAGCCGCGGUAAUACGUAGGGUGCAAGCGUUAAUCGGAAUUACUGGGCGUAAAGCGUGCUCAGGCGGUUCGGAAAGAAGGAUGUGAAAUCCCAGGGCUCACCCUUG